This 253-nucleotide ribosomal RNA is filed under the name uncultured bacterium. RNAcentral describes it as "partial 16S ribosomal RNA". It matches the Rfam family "Bacterial small subunit ribosomal RNA", at positions 524 to 776 of the family's 1533-position model. The record is from RNAcentral.
UACGUAGGGAGCGAGCGUUGUCCGGAAUUAUUGGGCGUAAAGAGCUCGUAGGCGGUUUGUCGCGUCUGCCGUGAAAGCCCGGGGCUCAACUCCGGAUCUGCGGUGGGUACGGGCAGACUAGAGUGAUGUGGGGGAGACUGGAAUUCCUGGUGUAGCGGUGAAAUGCGCAGAUAUCAGGAGGAACACCGAUGGCGAAGGCAGGUCUCUGGGCAUUAACUGACGCUGAGGAGCGAAAGCAUGGGGAGCGAACAGG